CGCAGGAUUAAUUAUAAGAGAAAGAAUAUUCAUAUUCUUUCAAAAUUAUUUUAAAACCUACCUCUGGGGGAAAAUAAACAAUUAGGACUAAAUACGUGAAAAUAAAUAUCUAAAAUGCUCUAGGAUUAAAAAAAAGAAACAUUACCUGAGUAAGUUGGUGACCCAUGCCUAAUAGGUAAUUUUCCACUCCCCAGCGCCUGACUCAUCUCCUAC
This 213-nucleotide long non-coding RNA is filed under the name Bos taurus (domestic cattle). Its description in RNAcentral is "long non-coding RNA NONBTAT025087". Lineage: Eukaryota; Metazoa; Chordata; Mammalia; Artiodactyla; Bovidae. The record is from RNAcentral.